RNAcentral lists this ribosomal RNA (483 nucleotides) under uncultured bacterium. RNAcentral's name for it is "bacterial SSU rRNA". It matches the Rfam family "Bacterial small subunit ribosomal RNA", at positions 15 to 507 of the family's 1533-position model. The record is from RNAcentral.
GAUCAUGGCUCAGAACGAACGCUGACGGCAUGCCUAACACAUGCAAGUCGAACGAGACUUCGGUCUAGUGGCGGACGGGUGAGUAACGCGUAGGAACCUGCCAAGCAGUGGGGAAUAACAGCUGGAAACGGCUGCUAAUACCGCAUACGCCCUACGGGGGAAAGCCGGGGAUCUUCGGACCUGGCGCUAGUGGAUGAGCCCGCGUGAGAUUAGCUUGUUGGUGGGGUAAUGGCCUACCAAGGCAACGAUCUCUAGCUGGUCUGAGAGGACGAUCAGCCACACUGGGACUGAGACACGGCCCAGACUCCUACGGGAGGCAGCAGUGGGGAAUAUUGGACAAUGGGCGAAAGCCUGAUCCAGCAAUGCCGCGUGUGUGAAGAAGGCCUGAGGGUUGUAAAGCACUUUCAAUCGUGAAGAAAAGUCACAGGCUAAUACCCUGUGACCUUGACGUUAACGAUACAAGAAGCACCGGCUAACUCCGUG